This 500-nucleotide ribosomal RNA is filed under the name uncultured bacterium. RNAcentral's name for it is "partial 16S ribosomal RNA". It matches the Rfam family "Bacterial small subunit ribosomal RNA", at positions 30 to 523 of the family's 1533-position model. The record is from RNAcentral.
AUUGAACGCUGGCGGCAUGUCUUACACAUGCAAGUCGAACGGCAGCACGGGAGCAAUCCUGGUGGCGAGUGGCGAACGGGUGAGUAAAGUAUCGGAACGUGCCCAGUCGUGGGGGAUAACGUAGCGAAAGUUACGCUAAUACCGCAUACGAUCUAUGGAUGAAAGCGGGGGAUCGCAAUACCUCGCGCGAUUGGAGCGGCCGAUAUCAGAUUAGGUAGUUGGUGGGGUAAAGGCCCACCAAGCCGACGAUCUGUAGCUGGUCUGAGAGGACGACCAGCCACACUGGGACUGAGACACGGCCCAGACUCCUACGGGAGGCAGCAGUGGGGAAUUUUGGACAAUGGGCGAAAGCCUGAUCCAGCCAUGCCGCGUGCAGGAUGAAGGCCUUCGGGUUGUAAACUGCUUUUGUACGGAACGAAAAGGACUGCCCUAAUACGGUGGUCCCAUGACGGUACCGUAAGAAUAAGCACCGGCUAACUACGUGCCAGCCGCCGCGGUAA